UACAUUCGCUUCAAGUUUGAAAUGUUUCAAAUUCAGGCAAAAUAAAUUUACGAAAAAUGUUUAAAGAAUUGUUGUAUAUUAUUAUCUUAUCAAAUCUAAUCAGGAAUUUCGUGCAAUUUACAUUAAAUUUGUGAUGUCAUCUAGAGCCGUGAUGAGCCCAUCAAACAGGAGUCGGAUUAGCUCACUCCAAGAAGGAAUAAAAACGCACGACUUGCGAUUGACAAAUUAAUGCGGAUCAGAAAUCAACACCUCAACAUGUUUAUCAUAUCAAAAAAUACAAGCGAAUUGGAGGAUUCCGAACCCAAACCCAAACCCAAACCCAAACCGAGGGCUGUCAGCGCUGGCGUUGAAAAUUAAUUAAAAACAUCAACAGAAUGCGUCGAGAUUUACAAAAUAACUGCGUUGAGGCUUCUGGCAUUAGUGUGGAUAAUUUCAGAGCGGAUUGCAGUUGGUUUGGCCUGCUGCUGCUGCUGCUGCUGUGGUGGGUGUCGCACCUUGGCGUGGCAGGCGAACCGCAAACCGAGCCAUCAUCCGUUCAUUCAUGGUUCACGAACCCUGAACGGUCUCUAAUCAACAACCCUUUUCAGAGUGCGACACGAAGCGAACUCAUCGCAGCAAUUCGGGGUCCUUGGCUGAGCCAUGAUGAUGAUGAUGAUGAUGAUGUCACUCUGUGUAUGGCUGACAAAACGCUUGACUGAUUACACUUGUAUCUGUUUUGGUAGCGGGCGCGUGUGUCCCGUGUCCCGAUUGUCGUUUCCCAAAUAUGUUCAAGGAUUUUAAAUUGUUGAUUCUCCCUCUCUCUCUCUCUCACUCAUUCUCUUCUUCUCCUCUCUUUCAGCUACUAGUUAGAUUGUGCGCUUGUGAUAAAUUUGGUUUAUUGAAAGGCGUCAGUGCGUGAAAUGAUGUGUGUCAAUUGCAUGAGUGAGUGAGCCAUGACUACGGCCGGGGCCGGGGCCGACUUUUUCGGCUUUGGGUUGGAGUUGACAGCGAUUAUGCAAAUCGGACGAAGAACUGCAUUAAUUCCUGCGGCCACAUCACUCCUCGCCGAGAUAAGCGUGGCUGGAGAGCAGCUUGUGGUCGCGUAUCUCGAGUUGAGGCUGCGGCUGCGGAGCUUUAAGUUUUUGCAUUGCGCAAAAUUUGCAUCGUCUUGCGGCAUUUGGCAACAAAUCUCGAAUGCAAUUUAUAUGCAAAAGUCAAGUCAAGUCGACACUUCCUAAUGAGCAAUUAAAACUCGAUGAAUUUUCCAAUUAAAUUGCCAAUAAAUCGCGCACAUAUGCGCACUUGGGAACGUGGCUCAUUAGUGUUAA
Drosophila navojoa is the source of this 1307-nucleotide long non-coding RNA. The record is from RefSeq and is a predicted model, not a curated record. Lineage: Eukaryota; Metazoa; Arthropoda; Insecta; Diptera; Drosophilidae.